ACGAACGCUGGCGGCGUGCUUCACACAUGCAAGUCGAACGGAAAGGCCCUGCUUUUGUGGGGUGCUCGAGUGGCGAACGGGUGAGUAACACGUGAGUAACCUGCCCUUGACUUUGGGAUAACUUCAGGAAACUGGGGCUAAUACCGGAUAGGAGCUCCUGCUGCAUGGUGGGGGUUGGAAAGUUUCGGCGGUUGGGGAUGGACUCGCGGCUUAUCAGCUUGUUGGUGGGGUAGUGGCUUACCAAGGCUUUGACGGGUAGCCGGCCUGAGAGGGUGACCGGCCACAUUGGGACUGAGAUACGGCCCAGACUCCUACGGGAGGCAGCAGUGGGGAAUAUUGCACAAUGGGCGGAAGCCUGAUGCAGCAACGCCGCGUGCGGGACGACGGCCUUCGGGUUGUAAACCGCUUUCGCCUGUGACGAAGCGUGAGUGACGGUAAUGGGUAAAGAAGCACCGGCUAACUACGUG
RNAcentral lists this ribosomal RNA (467 nucleotides) under uncultured bacterium. Its description in RNAcentral is "partial 16S ribosomal RNA". It matches the Rfam family "Bacterial small subunit ribosomal RNA", at positions 29 to 507 of the family's 1533-position model. The record is from RNAcentral.